RNAcentral lists this ribosomal RNA (433 nucleotides) under uncultured bacterium. RNAcentral describes it as "partial 16S ribosomal RNA". It matches the Rfam family "Bacterial small subunit ribosomal RNA", at positions 30 to 507 of the family's 1533-position model. The record is from RNAcentral.
AGCGAACGCUGGCGGCAGGCCUAACACAUGCAAGUCGAACGGAUCCUUCGGGAUUAGUGGCGGACGGGUGAGUAACACGUGGGAACGUGCCCUUUGGUUCGGAACAACUCAGGGAAACUUGAGCUAAUACCGGAUGUGCCCUUCGGGGGAAAGAUUUAUCGCCAUUGGAGCGGCCCGCGUCUGAUUAGCUAGUUGGUGAGGUAACGGCCCACCAAGGCGACGAUCAGUAGCUGGUCUGAGAGGAUGAUCAGCCACACUGGGACUGAGACACGGCCCAGACCCCUAGGGGAGGCGGGAGGGGGGAAUGUGGCGAAGGGGGGGAAGGCCGGACGGGGCCAGGCGGGGAAAAUGAGGAGGGUUUGGGAAUAGAAAAUUUUUUUCAGGGGGGACAAUAGUGACGGUCCCCGAAAAGAAAGCCCCGGCUAACUUCGUG